AUGAUUCUCAUCCCCAAACAUGGAGGGGCAAACCACCCUAGCAAGUUCAGACCGAUCAGCCUCAUACACAGCUUUGCCAAGCUCAUGACAAAAAUCCUAGCAAGACGUCUCCAACCUUUUAUGCCGGAUCUGAUCCUUCCAUGCCAAAAUGCUUUCAUAAAGAGGCACAGCACACAUGACAACUUUGUCUAUGUUCAGAGCCUGACCAGAGCACUCAAACUCAAAAGCACGCCUACCUUCCUGCUCAAGUUGGAUAUUUCAAAAGCGUUCGACUCCACCUCUUGGGAGUUCCUGAUGCAACUGCUUGAACACAGGGGUUUUGGGACAAAGUGGAGAAGUUGGAUUGCGGCGCUUCUCCUUACUUGCUCAACCAAAGUUCUUGUCAAUGGCGAGGCCUCUCCCAGGAUCGACCACAGGAGGGGUUUUCGACAGGGAGACCCUAUCUCGCCUCUCCUUUUUGUCCUGAUCAUGGACUACCUCACGCGAAUCAUGGACAAGGCAAGUUCGGAUGGCAUCCUAACCCCCUUCGAGAACCAUAACAUGAGGCACAUGACCUCAAUCUACGCGGAUGAUGUGAUCAUUUUCUCCAAGCCUAUGACUGAAGACGCGACGGUGAUCAACUCCAUCCUUCACCUUUUUGGAGAUGCGACUGGUCUGCACACCAAUAUGAGCAAAAGCGGUUUCAUGCCGAUCUGCUGCCAGCACCAGGACCUCUCGGGCUUGCAACAGAUCCUAGGUUGCUCACAAGGCUCAUUCCCCUGCACUUACCUUGGCAUGCCUUUGUCAGACAAGAAGCUGCGAAGGGUGGACUUACAGCCGGCGGUCGAUCGCCUUGCUGGCAAGUGCUCCGGUUGGAAGAUCGAUUUGAUUAACCUGAUUGGGAGAGUUGUUCUUGUUCGGGUUGUGCUAUCUGCGAUGCCAACCUUUCAGAUGAUUGCAAUCCCGCAAGCGAAGUGGCUAAACCAGAAGAUUGACAAGAUUCGCCGACCUUUACUCUGGGCUGGCAAGAGCGUGGCUUCAGGCGGAAAAUGUUUGGUAAAUUGGAAUUCCGUCUGCUGA
This 1059-nucleotide ribosomal RNA is filed under the name Triticum aestivum (bread wheat). RNAcentral describes it as "partial small subunit ribosomal RNA". Lineage: Eukaryota; Viridiplantae; Streptophyta; Magnoliopsida; Poales; Poaceae. The record is from RNAcentral.